Molecule: long non-coding RNA, 569 nt
Filed under: Pan troglodytes (chimpanzee)
Lineage: Eukaryota; Metazoa; Chordata; Mammalia; Primates; Hominidae
Description: lincRNA
Source: RNAcentral
UAGUAGACAUGGGGUUUCACCAUGUUGCCCAGUCCAGUCUCAAACUUCUGGCUCAAGCAGUCCUCCCGCCGCCCCUGGAUCCUCCUGGAAUCCCCGAUCCCUGUUGCUCCCUGGCGGAGUUUUCUAGUCCCUCUUACUUGAAGCAUGUCUUUCAGAGCCCGGCACCACCCAUCUUGAGUAUCUGGUGAGUUCUGUGGUCUGCAUGUCCAUGUUUGGGACAUUCUGGGAAGGGUGGCCCAGGCUGUGAUUUGCCAUCUACUGCAGGCUAUGGAUGGUAUUCAGAAGGGAGGGGAGAUGCUGUGUGCGUGUUCUGAAGGGUUUCCCACUAAAUGGAGAGACUGACUCUCUCCAUAAGUAUUUGAUUUUUACUUUAUCUCCUCGUUGACUUCACAGUGUCAGUGCAGUUUGUGUAAACAUCUCUAUGGGGUGAUGCAUGCAGAUAAAUGUUUAUGUGAACAUAUAAAGUCUGCAUGUGUGGGUGAACACUCCACAUCAGGUCAUUGUCCAUCAUUACAUAUCUAUGGUGUCUGGCUCAUUCGUCUCGUUUUCUGUCAUUUUACCUACUUUUA